This 407-nucleotide ribosomal RNA is filed under the name uncultured bacterium. RNAcentral describes it as "bacterial SSU rRNA". It matches the Rfam family "Bacterial small subunit ribosomal RNA", at positions 54 to 459 of the family's 1533-position model. The record is from RNAcentral.
CAUGCAAGUCGAGCGAGGUACAGGGCUUCGGCUCUGUACCUAGCGGCGAACGGCUGAGUAACACGUAAGUAACCUGCCCUCCAGUGGGGGAUAACCCCUCGAAAGAGGGGCUAAUGCCGCGUGCGUUCCCGGAGGGAAGUUCUCCGGGAGGAAAGCCCUCGGGCGCUGGAGGAGGGGCUUGCGGCCUAUCAGGUAGUUGGUGGGGUAACGGCCUACCAAGCCUACGACGGGUAGCUGGUCUGAGAGGAUGAUCAGUCAGACGGGGACUGAGACACGGCCCCGACUCCUACGGGAGGCAGCAGCGAGGAAUCUUGCGCAAUGGGCGAAAGCCUGACGCAGCAACGCCGCGUGGGGGAAGAAGGCUUUCGAGUCGUAAACCCCUUUUGCAGGGGAAGAAGAUCUGACGG